This 234-nucleotide ribosomal RNA is filed under the name uncultured Lactobacillus sp. RNAcentral's name for it is "partial 16S ribosomal RNA". It matches the Rfam family "Bacterial small subunit ribosomal RNA", at positions 128 to 356 of the family's 1533-position model. The record is from RNAcentral. Lineage: Bacteria; Bacillati; Bacillota; Bacilli; Lactobacillales; Lactobacillaceae.
GCCCAAGAGAUCGGGAUAACACCUGGAAACAGAUGCUAAUACCGGAUAANAACAGAUGAUGCCUAUCAACUGUUUAAAAGAUGGUUCUGCUAUCACUCUUGGAUGGACCUGCGGUGCAUUAGCUAGUUGGUAGGGUAACGGCCUACCAAGGCGAUGAUGCAUAGCCGAGUUGAGAGACUGAUCGGCCACAUUGGGACUGAGACACGGCCCAAACUCCUACGGGAGGCAGCAGCG